UUAAGCAUAUCAAUAAGCGGAGGAAAAGAAACUAACAAGGAUUCCCCUAGUAACUGCGAGUGAAGCGGGAAAAGCUCAAAUUUAAAAUCUGGCGGUCUUUGGCYGUCCGAGUUGUAAUCUAGAGAAGUGUUAUCCGCGCUGGACCGUGUACAAGUCUCCUGGAAUGGAGCGUCAUAGAGGGUGAGAAUCCCGUCUUUGACACGGACUGCCAGGGCUUUGUGAUGCGCUCUCGAAGAGUCGAGUUGUUUGGGAAUGCAGCUCAAAAUGGGUGGUAAAUUCCAUCUAAAGCUAAAUAUUGGCGAGAGACCGAUAGCGAACAAGUACCGUGAGGGAAAGAUGAAAAGAACUUUGGAAAGAGAGUUAAACAGUACGUGAAAUUGCUGAAAGGGAAACGCUUGAAGUCAGUCGCGUUGUCCAGGGAUCAACCUUGCUUUUGCUUGGUGCACUUUCUGGUUGACGGGUCAGCAUCAAUUUUGACCAUUGGAAAAAGAUUAGGGGAAUGUGGCAUCUUCGGAUGUGUUAUAGCCCUUGGUUGCAUACAAUGGUUGGGAUUGAGGAACUCAGCACGCCGCAAGGUCGGGUUUCCAUAUUAACCACGUACGUGCUUAGGAUGCUGGCAUAAUGGCUUUAAUCGACCCGUCUUGAAACACGGACCAAGGAGUCUAACAUGCCUGCGAGUGUUUGGGUGGAAAACCCGAGCGCGUAAUGAAAGUGAAAGUUGAGAUCCCUGUCGUGGGGAGCAUCGACGCCCGGACCAGACCUUUUGUGACGGCUCCGCGGUAGAGCAUGUAUGUUGGGACCCGAAAGAUGGUGAACUAUGCCUGAAUAGGGUGAAGCCAGAGGAAACUCUGGUGGAGGCUCGUAGCGAUUCUGACGUGCAAAUCGAUCGUCAAAUUUGGGUAUAGGGGCGAAAGACUAAUCGAACCAUCUAGUAGCUGG
This 939-nucleotide ribosomal RNA is filed under the name Cortinarius sp. PDD 94351. Its description in RNAcentral is "eukaryotic LSU rRNA". It matches the Rfam family "Eukaryotic large subunit ribosomal RNA", at positions 34 to 954 of the family's 3401-position model. The record is from RNAcentral. Lineage: Eukaryota; Fungi; Basidiomycota; Agaricomycetes; Agaricales; Cortinariaceae.